Molecule: long non-coding RNA, 940 nt
Organism: Coregonus clupeaformis (lake whitefish)
Lineage: Eukaryota; Metazoa; Chordata; Actinopteri; Salmoniformes; Salmonidae
Exons: 6
Source: RefSeq, a predicted model, not a curated record
CCGGAAAACAGCUGAUGUCAUGGAGAGCACGACACAUUGCCACCGAUAACCGGGAAUAUACACUCUUAUCGCGUAACCCUAAGACACUGAUACAGUAUCACUCGCUCCCGGUCUCUCUCUUUGGCUGGUCUCUCUGCCCCCCCCCUCUAACCUGGGGAUGAACGCACCAAUGAGGAGCCAACUCACGGUGGAUAACUUGUACAUUAAGGAUCGCUGGUGUAUGUUUGACGGCUUCAUGGUCUUCUUCCUCUGGGUGUCUCUGGUGCUUCAGAUUUACCUUACAACAGAGGUCUUCCAGGUACAGCACCUGUUCAUAGCCUUCCCUCUCUCCCUCCGGUGUUUGAGAUAGCGGAUGUUGUUGACCAGAUGUCUCCCUGGGGCAUGUUGAGAAUCCCCAGAGCCCUCAUCACGAGCCUUCAGGAUCUACUUCCGCUUCGAGCUGCCGCGCUCACGCAUUACCAACAUCCUCAAGUGCUCAGGGUUUUCUUUGGACAUGACAUAACCUGGAUAUGAAAUAUCAUUUGAAAUGGAAAUCUAUACUUGGUUGAUGGUUAAUGUAAAAUAUUCUCCCAGGCAGUCAGGGGAACAGAUCUGGAGUGUGUCGAUAUUCUUGCUCUUCUUCUUCCUCUGUAUGGAAUCCUGGGAGUUCAGAUGUUCGGAACGUUCAAUCAUCACUGCGUUACCAACGACACAACGAAAGGUAAUGUGACGUGGAACAGCCUGGCCAUCCCAGACACCCACUGUUCACCAGAUGGUGAGGGCUACCUUUGUCCACUGGACCUGGAAGAACUGGUGCUCAGCAGGCAGGGGGUGGGCUACAGCGGGUUCAACAAGCUUGCAACUGAUGUGCUCCUCCGUCUUCCACAUGUUUAUUCUGACCUUGGUUGCUGUGGAUGUAAUCGUAGCCGCCAGCAACUACUGCAAGGGCGAUAACCACCAA